UUAUGUAAUAGACAUACCCCAGGUUUCAGAUUUCUUAACUGUAAAAAACACUGAAUUCCCUGGUAGAUACAGAGCAGCAGCUACUGGUGCCUUGAGGGGGAAGAGCAGUCAUUUCCUGGCAUGUUCCCCCAAGCCCACAUCCUGGACAGCCCCCUGUGCAGUGGAGGGUGCUGGAUGUGGAUCCAGGCAGCGUGGCUCAGAUCGUGGCUCUGCCUCUCAUCAUGCCUCUGUGACAUUUGGCAGGGAUACAGGAAUGGAUUGAGGAGAAUUUCCUGAUUCUAAGAAAGACAAGGCAAUCCAAUUCACUUUUUCUUCUUUUCAAAGAAAAUUUUAUAUAACAUCUUGCCUCCCUGUGCUGCUCAGCCCCAAACACGAUGUGCAGAAUAUCUGUGCCUGUGUUUCUGUGGCUUUCUAGCCUGAUACUGCUAAGCACCGAGCCUUGCCAUUAUAGAUAGUAAA
Non-coding RNA from Phascolarctos cinereus (koala), 459 nucleotides. The record is from RefSeq and is a predicted model, not a curated record. Lineage: Eukaryota; Metazoa; Chordata; Mammalia; Diprotodontia; Phascolarctidae.